AGAAUCAACGCUGGCGGCGUGCCUAACACAUGCAAGUCGAACGCGAAAGGGGAGCAAUCCCUGAGUAGAGUGGCAAACGGGUGAGUAACACGUGGGUGACCUGCCUUCGAGUGGGGGAUAACGUUCCGAAAGGAACGCUAAUACCGCAUGACAUCCUGCUUUUGGAAAAGCGGAGAUCAAAGCUGGGGAUUCGCAAGAACCUAGCGCUUGAAGAGGGCCCGCGCCUGAUUAGCUAGUUGGAGAGGUAAUGGCUCACCAAGGCGACGAUCAGUAGCUGGUCUGAGAGGAUGAUCAGCCACACUGGGACUGAGACACGCCCAGACCUCCGUACGGGAG
RNAcentral lists this ribosomal RNA (336 nucleotides) under uncultured soil bacterium. Its description in RNAcentral is "bacterial SSU rRNA". It matches the Rfam family "Bacterial small subunit ribosomal RNA", at positions 26 to 347 of the family's 1533-position model. The record is from RNAcentral.